GCGAACGGGUGAGUAACACGUGGGCAAUCUGCCCUGCACUCUGGGACAAGCCCUGGAAACGGGGUCUAAUACCGGAUAUGACCUGAGGAUGCAUGUUCUCGGGUGGAAAGCUCCGGCGGUGCAGGAUGAGCCCGCGGCCUAUCAGCUUGUUGGUGGGGUGAUGGCCUACCAAGGCGACGACGGGUAGCCGGCCUGAGAGGGCGACCGGCCACACUGGGACUGAGACACGGCCCAGACUCCUACGGGAGGCAGCAGUGGGGAAUAUUGCACAAUGGGCGAAAGCCUGAUGCAGCGACGCCGCGUGAGGGAUGACGGCCUUCGGGUUGUAAACCUCUUUCAGCAGGGAAGAAGCGCAAGUGACGGUACCUGCAGAAGAAGCACCGGCUAACUACGUGCCAGCAGCCGCGGUAAUACGUAGGGUGCGAGCGUUGUCCGGAAUUAUUGGGCGUAAAGAGCUCGUAGGCGGCUUGUCGCGUCGGAUG
Molecule: ribosomal RNA, 482 nt
Filed under: Actinacidiphila yanglinensis
Lineage: Bacteria; Bacillati; Actinomycetota; Actinomycetes; Kitasatosporales; Streptomycetaceae
Description: bacterial SSU rRNA
Rfam family: Bacterial small subunit ribosomal RNA
Source: RNAcentral